Molecule: long non-coding RNA, 352 nt
Filed under: Pelobates cultripes (western spadefoot toad)
Lineage: Eukaryota; Metazoa; Chordata; Amphibia; Anura; Pelobatidae
Source: RNAcentral
UGAACAUGUCAUCAUGUCAGCCUCUCUGUCAUUUUAAGAUGGAGCAGCGUCUGUCUCCAAGUCUCUCCUCUGUGUCUUAACAUUUAAAAGUACACCUAUUUAUACCUUAGGUGUCUCCAUUUUAGGGUUACCGUAGUUCAUUUACUUUAUUCAUUUUAGGACCUCCCUUAAUUUGGCAAACAUACAAGGCCAUGACUAAAGGGUGCAUACGUCAUGGAAAUUUUCCUGACUUAGUUCAAGAUGGCAUCUUAAAGUCUGAAUAGGUUAUCUGUUGUUUAUACUAAGUCGUAAGUGUACAGUCGUGGGAGAUUCCCGGAUUUGGGGAAGUUCCAUUAACUUGGGGUUACCACAG